GACGAACGCUGGCGGCGUGCCUAAUACAUGCAAGUUGAGCGCUGAAGGUUGGUACUUGUACCAACUGGAUGAGCAGCGAACGGGUGAGUAACGCGUGGGGAAUCUGCCUUUGAGCGGGGGACAACAUUUGGAAACGAAUGCUAAUACCGCAUAAAAACUUUAAACACAAGUUUUAAGUUUGAAAGAUGCAAUUGCAUCACUCAAAGAUGAUCCCGCGUUGUAUUAGCUAGUUGGUGAGGUAAAGGCUCACCAAGGCGAUGAUACAUAGCCGACCUGAGAGGGUGAUCGGCCGCAUUGGGACUGAGACACGGCCCAAACUCCUACGGGAGGCAGCAGUAGGGAAUCUUAGGCAAUGGACGAAAGUCUGACCGAGCAACGCGGCGUGAGUGAAGAAGGUUUUCGGAUCGUAAAACUCUGUUGGUAGAGAAGAACGUUGGUGAGAGUGGAAAGCUCAUCAAGUGACGGUAACUACCCAGAAAGGGACGGCUAACUACGUG
This 497-nucleotide ribosomal RNA is filed under the name uncultured bacterium. RNAcentral's name for it is "partial 16S ribosomal RNA". It matches the Rfam family "Bacterial small subunit ribosomal RNA", at positions 28 to 507 of the family's 1533-position model. The record is from RNAcentral.